Long non-coding RNA from Pomacea canaliculata, 1120 nucleotides. RefSeq lists it as uncharacterized. NCBI's taxonomy places the organism in Eukaryota, Metazoa, Mollusca, Gastropoda, Architaenioglossa, Ampullariidae. The record is from RefSeq and is a predicted model, not a curated record. The transcript has 2 exons.
GUCAUUUCCUGCAGGAUCGCGAGACAUGAGCGGAAGGCCGCCGGUAGACGGGCUGGCGAACACAGCAGAGACAACGAGGAAGAAGAUUUAGACAACAAAAGGAGCCCGACGUCAGUGUUCGAAGAAGAAGAGAAAGAAAAUAAAAAGAAAGAAAGAAUGCAGGACCUUCAGGAGCUUGCACCAGUUCCUGUCAAAGCCGGCCACAACAUAAAGGGACGAAACUUUGCCAAUGUACGUUUUGCGAAGCUUGGCGCCGCCAGAGGGACAGAGCUCAUUGCCUUCACUUUGUCCUGUCUUGGUUCUCAUGGACUGAACAUGAAGCAUCACGACCGGAUCAUCGCUUUGUAUGCAAUGUGUUCCCAUACGGCAAAAACAAAUCAUCGGAGCGCCUUAUUUAAAGCUUCUGUCUUCUUGUUUCGCUUUUUGCGAACAACGCCGACACCCCGAACUCAGCAGCGGGACUCGGUGACGUCCAUGGUGAAGACGUCGGGUGUGGGCUCGCCGGACGGUCGUCGUCAAUGGAUGAGUGCGUGUUCAGGUUUGAAGACUGAGGCAGAGCGUAGCCAUUUGCCUCUUCCUUCCUUCAAAAGUCCGUACCUCAUCAAUCCGUCAUCACCAUCCAACAUCCCCACAACGUGGUCCUUUCCUCGGCUCAUUGUGCAUUGACGGACUGGAUGCAGGCUCAGCCAGCCCAUGAAAGAUGAACCAACAGCUGUCUGUCGUUACUCCCCCGACCACCAGGAGGACACAACCCACAUAUUGUGGAUGUUUUUUUUUUUCUCUCGCUCUAUUGGUUGAAUAAUGUCAGGGUACACAUGUCUGCACUCAGGAACACUGACUCCCAUUCCCGAAAAUAGCUCCUUUCGCCCGCAACGAUCAAGUCUACCUGACUGCGCACCCAUUCAAUCGUACACGGGUGCACACAUGCGUACAAGCACACCCGACUGCACGAGCUCCAUUAUGUACCACUACCAUCCAGGCUUGUUGUUCAAGAUCAUCAGUAAUGUACCCAAGAUAACAUUCUCCUAACUUGGUUAGGGAACCAGCAGGUUAGCACGACUUACAAAACUCCCGAGUCGUGAGCUUUUGAGAAAUAAAACUUACCUAGCAGACCGGCUCA